Macaca mulatta (Rhesus monkey) is the source of this 2520-nucleotide non-coding RNA. The record is from RefSeq and is a predicted model, not a curated record. NCBI's taxonomy places the organism in Eukaryota, Metazoa, Chordata, Mammalia, Primates, Cercopithecidae.
GCGCAGCGCGGAACCAUUGCUCGCGGAGCUGGCGCCGAGUCGGAACCUCGGACUGCGGGAAGUGGAAGCGCCGGGGUUUCGGGGAAGAGACCGGGGUUGAGCAUUUAUAGCCCAGCUUAGCGUGACUUCCGCCGGCGUUGAGCGCGUUUUCUGGGUCCGAGUUGAAGGGCAAAAACCAAGUGGAGGAAACUUCACUAAGUUCAGGGUGACAAGGGAGGAAGUGCAGAGACUGCACUUUAAAUUCUGGAUGACAGACCUAUCAGGACUGAGUGGACCUUUGAGUGACAAGAUGGGGGGUGUUCCAAAGAGACCAUGGCAGCCUGCAGCUAGGACUUUAUCUUUAAUGCAAGUGGUGAUGCUGUGAUAUCUAGUGCUUUAAACAAAUCUCUUUUUUUAAGUGACAGGGUUUCCAAAUUGUUAUAUCUACUUUGUUUAACAGAUCAAUAGGGACAAAAAGUUGAUUCACUUGGUCUAAUGUAGGAAUAGGUGAAAUACUGAUUGGGUCCUACACUCUACUUGCCAUCAGGCACCCAUUCUUAUGAAUAGAGAUUCCGUAGGGGCCACAGACAAUCCCAAUACUUUUUUCCCAGUUAAUUGAGAAAAUUAAAGCCAUCAUACAAUAUAUAACUUCCUCCCUCUCCACUUCUGUCAAUGCCACAUAUAGCCACCUGUCUUAUUUGUCUGUCUCAGAAAAUGUAACGUACUUCCUCCACUAAUGUAUGAACACUGUUUCUUGUUCUAGACCUCUUUUCUGCAUUUGGUGUCAUUGAUCAAACCCUCCUUGAAACUCCUUUUGCAUUUUUCCCAUCUUUUUCUACCUGUCUCAUGCUUCUUGGGGGUCUUUUUUUCCUCUGCCUACCCAUUAAAUAGUAUUUCCCAAAGUUCCAACCUUGAGUUGUUUUCUGUCUGUGUCUUCCCUGUGCGGACUAUCUACUCAUUGUUUUAACCUAUUUGCUCAUGGAUUCUAAAACUACUGCUAUUCCUAACCUCUUCCUUGAAGUUCAGACAUUUGGGAGGCUCAUGAGCCCUUCAAACUCUUUUUGUCCUUUGCUUUCAUUUGUACUCCCAAUUCUAUCUCAUCUCACUGCCUCCAGCUGUAACUACUACCACCCCCACCUACACCACCAAAUCCAUCUUGUAAGUAGCAGCCAGAAUGACCAGUCUCAAAUGUAAAUCUAUUUCACUUGCCUCCUUAAAUUUCUGAUCUCCCUCCACGGUCACCUUCAAGAUAGUCCACCUCCAUGGCCUGGUGUGCUAGGGUCUUCAUCAUCUUGCCACUCUUUUCCUUCCCAGUCUUGUUUCCCUUUCCAGUACCAUCUCCCAUCCUACCCACUUCGCAUUCAUGAGGCUGCUUUACACCUGAGACCUUUCACUUUCUUGUUGACUUUGUCUGGACUGUCUUUAUUUUCUUUGGCUGACUCUUCUUUAUCCUUACUAAUUUUUUAGGGUUCUUCUAAGAAGCCUUUCCUUAUUCCAUAGUCUGAGUUAGUUGACUUUUCUCUGCUUUCUUGACAUUCAUGGAUUCAUUCAGAAAAUAUUCAUUGAACCCUUAUUUUAUGCUAGAUACUAAGCUAGAUACUGGAAAUGUAAUAAUGAAAAAGCAAAUAUGGCAAUAACCAAUCUAAUAAUUUCCUGACAGAGUUUACGUUCUCAUAGGGAAAAAAAUAAAAAAAAUCAAAAAAAGGCAGUUCAGUCUUACUGGCUCCAUGCUUGAGAAUAGCUAGGAAUUGAAAGGGUAAAAGACAAGUGUUCUAGAUAGAGGCUAACAAUGUUUAUGAAGAAGAACACAGUCUAGGAACUGAGAGAUUCUAGACAGGGGUGGAGAGGCAAAUAGGGACCAGAUCAUGAAGAGCAUUAGUGAUGAUGUAACAAACUUUGGACUCCUUCUUAAGGCUAAUAGUACCUUUGAAUGGUAUCAACAUGAUUAGGUUAGUAUUUAAAUGAUGAAUCGCUACUCUGAGAAAAAGAACUCAAAGGGUGGCAAUACCAGCAAGAAGGAAACCAGUUAGGAGAUAAUUGUAGUAAACCAGGGAAAGAAAGAUGGCAGUUUAUACUGGGGCAUUGCCAGUGUGGGUAGAAAUAGAUCUCAGAAGAAUUUUAGGAAGUAGAAAUGGCAAAACUUGGUGACUGGCUGAAUUGUGAGGGCAGAAAUGGGAUAAAUCAAGGACAGAGUUUCAACAAGCUUUAGUGAAGACAGGGACUACCCCAUUUGCUGUCAUGUAUUCACAGCUUAGCACAAAUCUUUAUACGCUGGAGAUGCUUGAUAAGUACAAAUGAAAUUUUCUGGCUUGAGUACCCAGAUAAAUGGGAUGCCAGUCUCUGAUUUAGGUAACAUAGAGGCAGACUCAGUUGGGAGGUAACUGGUGAUUCAGUUUUGAACAUGUCUAGCUUAACAUGCCUGUGAAACAUACCAUGUCCAGAUACACGGCAAUUGGAUGAAUGAUUCUGAAACUCAAGAAGAGAGGUCUGAGAUGGAUUCUUUGCAUACUUAAAAAAAUAAAAGUUUAUGUUAUAUUGAAA